Molecule: ribosomal RNA, 253 nt
Filed under: uncultured bacterium
Lineage: Bacteria
Description: partial 16S ribosomal RNA
Rfam family: Bacterial small subunit ribosomal RNA
Source: RNAcentral
UACGUAGGUGGCAAGCGUUGUCCGGAAUCACUGGGCGUAAAGCGCGCGCAGGCGGCGAUCUACGUCUGGGGUGAAAGCCCGGAGCUCAACUCCGGGACUGCCUUGGAUACGGGAUCGCUUGAGGAUUGGAGAGGCAAGGGGAAUUCCACGUGUAGCGGUGAAAUGCGUAGAUAUGUGGAGGAACACCUGUGGCGAAGGCGGCAUCCUGGACCGAGAUUGACACUGAGGAGCGAAAGCCAGGGGAGCAAACGGG